GCACAUGCACAUGCACAAUAUAUCACUGCUUUGUAAAUGUAUAUUCCCAGGUCUUUUUGAACUUUUGUUCCAGAUCAAGAUGUGCACAUGCUUUAGGGAACUUGUAUUCAGAACAUACUUACAACUGUGAUAAUGUUCCAGCUUAAACUGAUGAUUUGUUGCUUUCUAAGGAGCCUAAACUGCUGCUAGGGUAGAUUAAUUUAACUGGAAUGGAACAAUAUUUUAAUUCCAAUACUGUGAAGACGAAACAUUACAUGUCACUUUUACAAGGCUACAACAUAAAUCUGACCAAUUUCCGCAUAGUUCAAAGUUUCGCCCACGCACACCCUGACUUAGGCUCAAGCCCAAAAUUUCGCAGUUGAUAGGUUGUACAUAACAACUUAACAAACUUGUCGGUUGAUUUAGCUAGCAUACAUGGCUUUAAAUUUUUUCCUUUUAACAAAGUUCUAGGUAUUGUAAAUAUCAUAUGAAGAUCAUCUAGAUUUGAUAUAAUAUACAAAAUUCAAGCUAUUGAAUGGAGAAUGAUACCAUAACCAAGUUUUCUUCUGUUCAUCAAAAGUCAAUUCAUUCUUCAGGGACAAUGUGAUGCCUUUCAUAAUAAAUCAACUUUUCCUACUGUAAC
Molecule: long non-coding RNA, 622 nt
Filed under: Medicago truncatula (barrel medic)
Lineage: Eukaryota; Viridiplantae; Streptophyta; Magnoliopsida; Fabales; Fabaceae
Description: long non-coding RNA (MTRU_LNC000206)
Source: RNAcentral